GCUUAUCAAGAGUGGCUCUAGGGACCGGCCCGUUAAGAGCCCGGCAACCGCGGAAAGCAGCGGUGCCAAUUCCGGCAGGGUAACCUGAAAGAUGAGG
RNAcentral lists this non-coding RNA (97 nucleotides) under uncultured Saccharofermentans sp. Its description in RNAcentral is "SAM riboswitch (S box leader)". It matches the Rfam family "SAM riboswitch aptamer (S box leader)". From Rfam's summary of the family: The SAM riboswitch is found upstream of a number of genes which code for proteins involved in methionine or cysteine biosynthesis in Gram-positive bacteria. The SAM riboswitch acts at the level of transcription termination control. The predicted structure consists of a complex stem-loop region followed by a single stem loop terminator region. The record is from RNAcentral. Lineage: Bacteria; Bacillati; Bacillota; Clostridia; Eubacteriales; Oscillospiraceae.